RNAcentral lists this long non-coding RNA (7099 nucleotides) under Setaria italica (foxtail millet). Its description in RNAcentral is "long non-coding RNA (SITA_LNC004228)". The record is from RNAcentral. Lineage: Eukaryota; Viridiplantae; Streptophyta; Magnoliopsida; Poales; Poaceae.
AUGCGUAAGGUGAAGAAGUUGUGGAAGGACCAGGGCAUAGCAGAGGAGAUCCAAAAACUCAAGAUACUCGUGACAGAGCAGAGUGAGCGGGCCAAACGCUACCGUGCGCUUGGAUCCUCGCCGCCUCACUAUCUCGCCGCCUCACCUCAGCCGGUGCGCUUGGAUCCUCGAGCAACUGCCCUCUUUCAGGAGGCGAGGGAUCCUGUGGGAAUUGAUGGUCCUCGCGAGGAAAUCAUCCAGUUAUUACAAGUUGAAGAAAAGCAACACAAGGUGGUGUCCAUCUAUGGUACCGCUGGGCAGGGGAAGACUACUCUAGCCAUGGAGGUAUACCGAAAAAUCACACAAGCAUUUGAUUGCAGGGCUUUCGUGUCUGUAUCUCAGACUCUGGAUCUGAAGAAGCUACUCAGAGAUAUAUUGUCUCAAAUAGUAAGCAAGAGCGAGUUUGACCAGUUGCAGUCGGAAAGGUGGGAGACGGAGCAGCUCAUGCGCAAAAUGAUAGACUACUUAAUUGGCAAGAGGUAACCAGAAUUACUUUCUUGUACUAUAAUAAUUAGCCAGUUCAUCUAGCUAUGGCAAUGUUGUGAGGUCUUUGUCGAUCACAUGAGCUCACCUAAUUUAUCGGCCAUUUUACGAUUGUAUUUUACGGACCCAUUCGAGCAUAAAACUACCACAUAUGCAUUUGUUACAUGAUUCCUCAACCAAUAUAAUGCAUGCAGGUACUUCAUCUUGAUUGAUGAUAUCUGGAAUGUAUCAGAUUGGGAGCUUGUAGAAGCUGCCUUACCUCGCAAUGACAACGGAAGCAGAAUAAUUACUACAACACGCAGUAAAACAGUAGCCGAAACAUGUGCUGGUAUUGACGCACAAAUGUACAAAGCAAAGCCACUUGGUGAUGACGAAUCUCGCAGAUUAUUCUUUAAAAGGCUAUUUCACUCAACUGAACAUUGUCCCCAAGAUUUGAUGGCAGUAUCCAGUGAUAUUUUGAGGAAAUGUGGGGGAUUACCAUUAGCCAUAAUCAGUAUAGCUGGUUUAUUAGCAAACAGAAGCAAAACCAAGGAAGUUUGGGUCAAUGCAUUGAAGUAUAUUUCUGCUGCAGUUGACAAAGAUUCUCACAUUGAUAAAAUGAAAAGAAUUUUUCUGCUUAGUUACUUUGACCUUCCUCUUCAUCUAAAGAGCUGUAUGUUAUAUCUGAGCGUGUUCCCGGAGGAUUAUUUGAUUGAUUGUAGACGGUUGAUAUUGUUAUGGGUAGCCGAAGGACUGAUUCCUGGACAAGGCAGAGAAAAUAUGGAGCAGCUUGGGAGGAGUUAUUUGAAUGAGCUGAUCAAUAGAAGCUUGGUCCAGCCAACCAAGGUUGGGGCAGAUGGCGCAACAGUGAAACAGUGCAGAGUUCAUGAUGUCAUACUUGAGUUUAUUGUUUCAAAGGCUGUGGAGCACAAUUUUGUUACUAUAUGGAAUCGUAAUGGAUUUUCUGAAAAUUAUUCUUCUAACAAGAUUCGCCGUUUAUCUAUCCAACACAACAUUUCUAGGCAGGCUGAAGAGAUGACGAUAAAAGAACAUGCAGCUCAUAUUCGAUCAAUUAAUAUUUUUGACCCUAUGUCAAUGCUGCUAAUUACCUCUAUGUUUUUAAGUAGCCAAGUCUUGCGAGUGCUGAAUACAGAAACUCGGGUGGGUUGCAAUCUUGGACAUGUCAAAAGUUUUGGUCAAAUCAAGUACUUGAGGUUGGGGUUGAGCUUUGGAUUUCGACCAUUAAUAUCAUUUGGCUGCAAACUCCCAAAAGAUAUAGAAAAGCUGCAACAUCUGGAGACACUAGAUGUUACGGUUUGUGCCGGCAUUGAUAUACUACCGGCUAGCAUUACCCAACUGCAUAGAUUAGUGCGUCUUCUUGUCGGUGCUAGGGUAAAACUACCUGAUGGGAUUGGAAAUCUGCAGGCAUUGGAAGAGCUACCAUCGAUUAGUUUGGGUUUUCAAACUAUCAAGUUUAUCCAAGGGCUCGGCGAUCUGACCAAUCUGAAGGUACUUGGAAUUGAUUGGAGGUACGAUCAUUAUUUAUUACGUCACGUGGACGUGGAAGGCCACAAGGAAGCAUGUAUCUCGUCACUCUCCAAGCUUGUCACAACCCUUCGAGAACUGCACGUCGUGCAGGAUGCUCGUGAUGACAGACUUUCAUUCAUGGCUUCGUGUGGCUCUACUCCACCACCCCUUCGGAGGCUCGUCUUUCACGAUAGUUGUGGACCAAGUGUCGUGCCCCAUCAAAUCAUCAGCUCGCUAGUCAACCUGACCCGCCUCAGUAUUGGACUAGUAAGCCAGGAAGGGAUAAAUAUCCUAGCAAGUUUGCCCAUGCUCCUCUCUAUUACUGUUCGCGUUUUGGGUAAUUCUGGAAUCAGGUAUACAAUCAGCAGUCAAGGAUUCCAGUGUUUAGUCAAGUUUAAUUUCGACUGUUAUUAUAUGGGGGCGUUGGAGUUUGAGCCAGGAGCCAUGCCAAAGCUCCAAAGGCUCAAGCUGUACCUGGUGGCAUGGGGUCAGUUCAAUUAUGAGCAAGGCGGCCUCAUCCUUGGGCUGCAGAAUCUGGCAGGCCUCAGACAUGUUGCUCUUUGUAGUAAUUGUAAGUAUGCUACUCCUGACGAGGUGCAGGAUUUGGAGGAUGACAUCAUGGUUGCAGCAGGCGCCCAUCCCAACUGUCCCGUGGUCCAGCAGGUCAAAAAAAUAAAUCAAGAGUGGAUGGCUCAAGGGUGCAGCAGGCGCCCACGCGACUAUCCCAUGCUAGAAGCACAAUGACCAAGUAAAUGCAUGGUGUGGAGAAUAAAUAUCAUUAUCAAUAAUGAUCUUUUUUUUCUGUUUCAAGAGCACGUUGGAAUUAAACAAGGUUAAUUCGAUUUGUUUUCAUCUUAGUUUUUGCUUUAUGACAACAUGUGUGGAGAAUAAAUAUCAUUAUCCACUCUGAAAUGUUUUUACUUGAGUCUAAAUAAUCUCCAUUGAAGAAAUCAGGCACCACAACGAAGUAUCCUGCCUCGCUAACUUUAUCGGCUAUCUGUCUGCAUCAUUAAAAGAUCCACUGGUACCAUCAUUAUUCCACUAAAUCAAGGGCGAUGAACAAUAGCUAGUACAGAAAGGGAUUCUUGCGUCGUUGUACUCCAAACAAAAUGCAAUCUAUCUCAUAUGAGAAUUAACUUUCACUGGAUUGUCUUUUUUUUGGAAAAAAAACUGUACUGUAUUUUACUCUGUACAGAAGCACAAAGCAUUGUUAUGUUUUUUAAAAAAGAUAGUCAAAUAAAAUUUGCUCUAGUUCUUCAAAGUCUCUAAAAUCAUUUGUUGAUAUUUAAAAGCAUUUUGCUAUGGUUAUGAUUGCGUUGCUACUUGCUACAAGCAUCAUAAGGGAGUACUAAGCAGGAAAAAUCGAAAGCAUGCCAGCCGAAUGCUCUAGUUCUUCAAAGUCUCUAAAAUCUGGAGAGAUGCUAGUUGACCAAGAACAGAGCAUCUUGAUCUACGAUAGUAAGCCAGAGUAGAGCAAGAAAGAACACAAAAUUUGGGAAUUAAAAGACCGUAGAUAUAUUUAUGUACCUGAGUAAAGGUGCCUCGAACCCUGAGGAAAUCAAUCAAAAAGUGGAGAAAAAUUUCCUGUCAAAACGUAUGCCCAAAUUGACUAGAAACUGCAAGAGUGUAGUACUACGGUCGAAACACCAACCGAAAACAUCGGAGGCGAGGAUGAAGGCGCGGCUUGAGCUUGCGGCUGAAGGACCGAAAGGGUGACCAGAGGAGGCUAUAAAAAUUCUCAACAAGAACAAGGCCUGUGUUCCAAAUGCAACCCCAAAGCACACAACACGUUGUAUCGUCAAGAUGAUGCAAGUCCACUCGUGACAAGCUGACCCUAGGAACGAUACACGUAUCAAAAGCAAAGCUCAAAGUGAUCCGAAUACAUGCAUGACAUGGUGGAAGCAGAAUAUAAAGUGACUCACAGUCAGAUUCAAGCAAGCCCACGAAAAACUUACUCAACUAAGCAUAAUUAGCAAGAGAUAAAACACAUUAAGUACUCAAGCGAGUGAACAAGUAUUAGUUGGCUAAGUGUUAGGAUUAACAGAGGAUUAGAAAAGCUAAUUUAACACCGAACAACCAUGGAUUAGAACAGUGCUAUCAGCCAUGUGCAAGAACUAAUAAUGAUUACUCAAAUCAUUGAUCACUGUAGCUAGAAAGCAACUCUUCGAUGGUGUUUGGAUCAGUAGUUCAUGAGCUAAAUUUUAGCUCCUAAACUUUAGCCCCUAAAAUUUAGUUCUGCUGGGCUGUUUGAAUUCAUGACUAAAAUGGACUAAAAUCCAUAAAUGUUGUUCAACAAAGAUACUAUUACCCUCCUUCCCUACCCCUCCUCUCCACCAGCAGCAGCACCACCACCACACAACUAGACCACACCCGAGGCCACGAGGGGUGGGCGGGCGGAGGCGGGGUGCCGGCCGAAGGAGGCGGAGCCGGGCGGAGGCGGCGGGGCGGCCGGAGGCGGGGGGCUGAGCGGAGGUGGCUAGGCCGGCCGGAGGCAGCAGGGUCGGGCGGAGGCGGCGGGCCGGCUGGAGGAGGCGGGGCGGCUGAAGGCGGGGGGGGCUGAGUGGAGGCGGCGGCGCCGGCCGGAGGCGGGGCCCGGGCGGAGGUGGCACCACCACCUGCAGAAGCAGCAGCAGCACUGGCGGCGCCGCCGGUGGUGGAGCUCGGCCACCUCCACCGCGCUCCUCCUCUUCGUGUGUCUGGAGGAAGGGAACAGGGAGACCGCGGUGGAAGCCGGCGCGGCGUCAGCGUCCGUGGAGACGGUGGCGGCGUCCGGGCCGGCGCGGCCCACAGCGGAGCGCGCAUUGGCCGCGCUGGAGCUCCUGUGCACGGCCCUCGGCGGCGUCGCGGCGGUGCGGAGGAAGGCACUCGCGGUGCCGGUCUUGGCGCGGGUGGUAGAGGGGAUGUCCGGCCACGGGCAGGAGUGCGGGGCGGGAGAGAGGAAGGGGGGCAACGUGUGGAAAUUGGUGAGGAGGAGCACUUUUAGCCCCUUUUAGGGCCUCUUUGGGGGCUAAAAUUUUUAGCCCAAAGUUUAGCUAUUUGUCACUUUUUGCCCUCCUGUUUGGAUCCCAAGAGCUAAAUUUUGAGCUAAAAGUGCAAGACUAAAAUUUAGUCCUUGGAUCUAAACAGACUAAAAUUUUAACUCGUAGGGAAUGUUUUGCAGGAGAAUGUGCACCUCAACAUGGAAUCUAUGGAUACACUUUUGGCAACAUACCUUCAAACCACAUUCUAUGCAACAAUAAUCUUGUGCAAACCAUAUAUAGCUAUGCCCACCAUUUAUAGAACAAUGUUCAAUAGAUUACCAUAUGCAUAUGAACGUGCACGAUGCACUACGAGAAUGUCCAAGUUUGCCGUGUGUCCACGGCACACGGCUUUUUCCAAAGAAACCUCAGCAAAACCUUUGCUGAGUGGGCGUACACAGUGCCGGUAAAAAUUUCUUUGCCGAGUGUUUUUUAUCGGGCACUCAGCAAAGACUUUGCUAGUGCUAAAACUGACGCUCGGAAAAAAAAGCAACAUGACGGUGUGAAAACGGUCGUGGCACGUUUGCCGAGUGUCUAAUAGCAUGGACACUCUGGCAAAGAAAAGCCUCAACAAACAUGAGUCAUUUUAGACUUUAGGCACAAUUUCCUAAAGAAACACCAGAAAUUUCACAGAAAUUUUCACAUUAGCUGUGUAAAUAAUAGCAAAGUUCUUGCAAGGUGACCAUACUUGCAAGGUAUGCUCGUCUUAAUCUUGGUCUACUUAUUAGUCUACAAUAAGGCUAGUUUCAGUGGGAGUUUCAUAGAGGUUUCAUGCACAUUAAAUACGGUGACACAUCAGCAUAUGUGAUGACAUGGCAUGGUAGUUAUGAAGUGAGAGAGGGAACGAGUUUCAUCAGGAUGAAACUGUGUAUACACUGUUUCCAAGACUAUGAAACCUAUUGAAACUUACAUUGGGGGCUAUAGAGUUUCAUUUCAUGUAACCAUAUCCAAUCACAUGCCUCACAAUUAAAUGUCAUAGGCAUCCUAUGAAAUCGUGAAAUGAAACUGUGCACUGGGACUCCCUGUUUCAUUCAUGAGAAUACACCUCAUGGGAUGAUAUAGCAUUCUUAGAAACAGUGCAAUGAAACCUUGCACUGGGACUGGCCUAACAUUCCUUUCCUUAUCUAGAAGAGACUAUUUGCCCAGCAACUGACCGUUGUAUCUUCCAACUAGCAUUUCGCUUGCGAGUCCAGAUGGUAAAAGUAAAUAAAAAAAUGAAAAUCGGGGUUGGUGGAGAGACAAAGAGAAUAGGAAAGGGAAAGUGCUCAUGGGGGAAGUGGAACGAAGCAUCGUGGGAGGUGAGGCCGUGCUUACAAAGCACUUUCUCGGGUCGUUCGCAUCGCUCACGCGUAAAUGGAAUCCCCAUCUGCGACGGUGAGGCCCUGAGAAUUGAAGCGCCCUUCCUCUCUGACACCACCACAAGUUAGCUAGCAGAGCGGUAGAGCCAGCUUCCCAGUCGAGAUGGCCGAACUGAUGGCGAGCGCCGCCACGAGCGUGAUGGGGUCCGUCAUCGGCAAGCUGACUGCCAUGCUCGGCGAGAAGUACCAGCUCGCCAGAGACGUGGAGCAAGGGAUCCGCUUCCUAAAGGAUGAGCUGAGCACCAUGGAUGUCGUGCUGCAGGAGCUCGCAGACAAGGAAGACGACCAAAUGGAUCCAGUGGCUAAAGAUUGGAGGAACAAGGUGCGUGAGGUAUCCUACGAUAUUGAGGAUUGCAUCGACCGCUUCAUGCUCAAUCACAGCCAUGGAGGUUCCAAGGCUAACUUUGUUCGCGAAGCCAUGCGUAAGGUGAAGAUGUUGUGGAAGGACCAGGGCAUAGCAGAGGAGAUCCAAAAACUCAAGAUACUCGUGACAGACCAGAGUGAGCGGGCCAAACGCUACCGCAUCCAUCACUAUCUCGCCGCCUCACCUCAGCCGGUGCGCUUGGAUCCUCGAGCAACUGCCCUCUUUCAGGAGGCGAGGGAUCCUGUGGGAAUUGAUGGUCCUCGCGAGGAAAUCAUCCAGUUAUUACAAGUUGAAGAAAAUCGACACAAGGUGGUGUCCAUCUAUGGUACCGC